This 400-nucleotide ribosomal RNA is filed under the name uncultured bacterium. Its description in RNAcentral is "bacterial SSU rRNA". It matches the Rfam family "Bacterial small subunit ribosomal RNA", at positions 359 to 776 of the family's 1533-position model. The record is from RNAcentral.
GAAUAUUGGGCAAUGGGCGAAAGCCUGACCCAGCCAUGCCGCGUGAGUGAUGAAGGCCCUAGGGUUGUAAAACUCUUUCGCGCACGACGAUAAUGACGGUAGUGCGAGAAGAAGCUCCGGCUAACUUCGUGCCAGCAGCCGCGGUAAUACGAAGGGGGCUAGCGUUGUUCGGAAUUACUGGGCGUAAAGCGCGCGCAGGUGGUCCUUCAAGUCAGGGGUGAAAGCCCAGAGCUCAACUCUGGAACUGCCUUUGAGACUGAGGGACUUGGGUACGGGAGAGGUGAGUGGAAUUCCGAGUGUAGAGGUGAAAUUCGUAGAUAUUCGGAAGAACACCAGUGGCGAAGGCGGCUCACUGGCCCGUUACCGACACUCAGGCGCGAUAGCGUGGGGAGCAAACAAG